AGAUUAAGCCAUGCAUGUCUAAGUAUAAACAUUUGUACUGUGAAACUGCGGACGGCUCAUUAAAUCAGUUAUAGUUUAUUUGAUAGUAGCUACUACUUGGAUAACCGUGGUAAUUCUAGAGCUAAUACAUGCACUGAAAAUCCCGACUUCUGGAAGGGAUGUAUUUAUUAGAUAAAAACCAACCCGGGCAACCGGUUCUUUGGUGAUUCAUGAUAACUUUUCGAAUCGCAU
Molecule: ribosomal RNA, 231 nt
Filed under: uncultured fungus
Lineage: Eukaryota; Fungi
Description: partial 18S ribosomal RNA
Rfam family: Eukaryotic small subunit ribosomal RNA
Source: RNAcentral